This 338-nucleotide long non-coding RNA is filed under the name Gallus gallus (chicken). The record is from RNAcentral. Lineage: Eukaryota; Metazoa; Chordata; Aves; Galliformes; Phasianidae.
UCCGAGAUCUCUACGUUACCCUCAGUCUGAGUCCCUGCCACAGCCGCCGGUUCGUGCCAUGAGUGCUCCGUGCCAUUGCUUGGCGGCGCCGCCUCGCCACCGCCCUGGGGACCCUCCUGCCACACCUUGGCGUUGGGGUUCAGGCCAGCUCCUUUGGAUGUUACCUCCACGAACAGCAGCAUCGCGUCCCCCGCGCUCCGGCCGGCGGACCCGCGAUCCACGCCGCCCUCCCCGCUGCCCGGCGGCGGCCGCGCCAGCGCCGAGGACACCCGGGCUCCGCCUCCGGCUGCUGCCGCCAGGCCCGGCCCCCGUCUCCCACCGCCACCCGCUGCCUGCUU